AACGAACGCUGGCGGCAUGCCUAACACAUGCAAGUCGAACGAGACCUUCGGGUCUAGUGGCGCACGGGUGCGUAACGCGUGGGAACCUGCCCUUAGGUUCGGAAUAACUCCCCGAAAGGGGUGCUAAUACCGGAUAAUGUCUUCGGACCAAAGAUUUAUCGCCUUUGGAUGGGCCCGCGUUGGAUUAGCUAGUUGGUAGGGUAAAAGCCUACCAAGGCGACGCUUCAUAGCUGGUCUGAGAGGAUGAUCAGCCACACUGGGACUGAGACACGGCCCAGACUCCUACGGGAGGCAGCAGUGGGGAAUAUUGGGCAAUGGGCGAAAGCCUGAUCCAGCAAUGCCGCGUGAGUGAUGAAGGCCUUAGGGUUGUAAAGCUCUUUUACCCGGGAUGAUAAUGACAGUACCGGGAGAAUAAGCUCCGGCUAACUCCGUG
Molecule: ribosomal RNA, 433 nt
Filed under: uncultured bacterium
Lineage: Bacteria
Description: partial 16S ribosomal RNA
Rfam family: Bacterial small subunit ribosomal RNA
Source: RNAcentral